AGGGGGGACGGAGAAGGCUAUGUUGGCCGGGCGACGGUUGUCCCGGUUUAAGCGUGUAGGCUGGUUUUCCAGGCAAAUCCGGAAAACCAAGGCUGAGGCGUGAUGACGAGGCACUACGGUGCUGAAGCGACAAAUGCCCUGCUUCCAGGAAAAGCCUCUAAGCAUCAGGUAACAUCAAAUCGUACCCCAAACCGACACAGGUGGUCAGGUAGAGAAUACCAAGGCGCUUGAGAGAAC
This 237-nucleotide ribosomal RNA is filed under the name Escherichia coli. RNAcentral describes it as "partial 23S ribosomal RNA". It matches the Rfam family "Bacterial large subunit ribosomal RNA", at positions 1465 to 1699 of the family's 2925-position model. Lineage: Bacteria; Pseudomonadati; Pseudomonadota; Gammaproteobacteria; Enterobacterales; Enterobacteriaceae. The record is from RNAcentral.